RNAcentral lists this microRNA precursor (103 nucleotides) under Urocitellus parryii (Arctic ground squirrel). Its description in RNAcentral is "microRNA 199a-2 (ENSUPAG00010001417.1)". The stretch from base 21 to 100 matches the Rfam family "mir-199 microRNA precursor family". From Rfam's summary of the family: This family consists of the microRNA (miRNA) precursor mir-199 which appears to be specific to humans. Animal miRNAs are transcribed as ~70nt precursors and subsequently processed by the Dicer enzyme to give a ~22nt product. The record is from RNAcentral. Lineage: Eukaryota; Metazoa; Chordata; Mammalia; Rodentia; Sciuridae.
UGGAAGCUUCUGGAGAUCCUGCUCCGUCGCCCCAGUGUUCAGACUACCUGUUCAGGACAAUGCCGUUGUACAGUAGUCUGCACAUUGGUUAGACUGGGCAAGG